Molecule: ribosomal RNA, 583 nt
Filed under: Pichia kluyveri
Lineage: Eukaryota; Fungi; Ascomycota; Pichiomycetes; Pichiales; Pichiaceae
Description: eukaryotic LSU rRNA
Rfam family: Eukaryotic large subunit ribosomal RNA
Source: RNAcentral
CCACAAGUCAAGCUCAGUAGCGGCGAGUGAAGCGGCAAGAGCUCAGAUUUGAAAUCUCACCUAGUGUGCGAGUUGUAAAUUGCAGGUUGGAGUCUCGGGUUAGACGUGUGUGCAAGUCCCUUGGAACAGGGUGCCACUGAGGGUGAGAGCCCCGUAUCGUGCAUGUCGACACCUGUGAGGCCCUUCUGACGAGUCGAGUUGUUUGGGAAUGCAGCUCUAAGUGGGUGGUAAAUUCCAUCUAAGGCUAAAUAUUGGCGAGAGACCGAUAGCGAACAAGUACUGUGAAGGAAAGAUGAAAAGCACUUUGAAAAGAGAGUGAAACAGCACGUGAAAUUGUUGAAAGGGAAGGGUAUUGGGCUCGACAUGGGAUUUACGCAUCGUUGCCUCUCGUGGGCGGCGCUCUGGGUUUUUCCUGGGCCAGCAUCGGUUUUCGUUGCAGGAUAAGGACAAUUGGAAUGUGGCUCCUCGGAGUGUUAUAGCCUUUUGUAGAUGCUGCGUAUGGGGACCGAGGGCUGCGGCGGACUCGUUUCGUCUCGGAUGCUGGCACAACGGCGCAAUACCGCCCGUCUUGAACCACGGACCA